UACGGGGGGGGCAAGCGUUGUUCGGAAUUACUGGGCGUAAAGGGUUUGUAGGUGGCUGAUUAAGUCAGACGUGAAAUCCCUCAGCUUAACUGGGGAACUGCGUCUGAUACUGGUUAGCUUGAGUGCAGGAGAGGAACGCGGAAUUCCAGGUGUAGCGGUGAAAUGCGUAGAUAUCUGGAGGAACACCGGUGGCGAAGGCGGCGUUCUGGACUGCAACUGACACUGAAAAACGAAAGCCAGGGGAGCAAACGGG
Molecule: ribosomal RNA, 253 nt
Filed under: uncultured bacterium
Lineage: Bacteria
Description: partial 16S ribosomal RNA
Rfam family: Bacterial small subunit ribosomal RNA
Source: RNAcentral